RNAcentral lists this ribosomal RNA (486 nucleotides) under uncultured bacterium. RNAcentral describes it as "partial 16S ribosomal RNA". It matches the Rfam family "Bacterial small subunit ribosomal RNA", at positions 28 to 507 of the family's 1533-position model. The record is from RNAcentral.
GAUGAACGCUGGCGGCGUGCCUAAUACAUGCAAGUCGAACGCUGGAAAUCUAGCUUGCUCGCUUGAAGGAGUGGCGAACGGGUGAGUAAUACAUAAGCAACCUACCCACGAAGACUGGGAUAAUCUCUGGAAACGGGGACUAAUACCGGAUAGGUAAUCGGAAGGCAUCUUCUGAUUAUUAAAGGUUAAAAACACUGGUGGAUGGGCUUAUGGCGCAUUAGUUAGUUGGUGAGGUAACGGCCCACCAAGACGAUGAUGCGUAGCCGGCCUGAGAGGGUGAACGGCCACAUUGGGACUGAGACACGGCCCAGACUCCUACGGGAGGCAGCAGUAGGGAAGUUUCGGCAAUGGGGGAAACCCUGACCGAGCAACGCCGCGUGAGUGAUGACGGCCUUCGGGGUGUAAAGCUCUGUUGUAAGGGAAGAACGGUAGAUAGAGAAUAUCUAAAUGACGGUACCUUACCAGAAAGCCACGGCUAACUACGUG